RNAcentral lists this ribosomal RNA (489 nucleotides) under uncultured bacterium. RNAcentral's name for it is "partial 16S ribosomal RNA". It matches the Rfam family "Bacterial small subunit ribosomal RNA", at positions 28 to 507 of the family's 1533-position model. The record is from RNAcentral.
GAUGAACGCUAGCUACAGGCUUAACACAUGCAAGUCGAGGGGCAGCAUGAUUGAAGCUUGCUUCAAUCGAUGGCGACCGGCGCACGGGUGAGUAACACGUAUCCAACCUGCCGAUAACUCGGGGAUAGCCUUUCGAAAGAAAGAUUAAUACCCGAUAGUAUAGUAUUUCCGCACGGUUUCACUAUUAAAGAACUUCGGUUAUCGAUGGGGAUGCGUUCCAUUAGAUAGUUGGCGGGGUAACGGCCCACCAAGUCAACGAGGGAUAGGGGUUAUGAGAGGAAGCUCCCCCACAUUGGAACUGAGACCCGGUCCACUCCCCUACGGAAGGGAGCAGUAAGUAAUAUUAGUCAAUGAACGAGGGUCUGACCCAGCCACGUAGCGUGAAGAAGGACUGCCCUAUGGGUUGUAAACUUCUUUUAUACGGGAAUAAAGUGGAGUAUGCAUACUCCUUUGUAUGUACCGUAUGAAUAAGGAUCGGCUAACUCCGUG